Molecule: long non-coding RNA, 1350 nt
Organism: Bactrocera dorsalis (oriental fruit fly)
Lineage: Eukaryota; Metazoa; Arthropoda; Insecta; Diptera; Tephritidae
Exons: 2
Source: RefSeq, a predicted model, not a curated record
ACUUGUCAAGUAAUUGAAUGCAAGAGAAAUUUUCCCUGCUUCUCACCCCUCUCAUCCUAUGCGAGCAGAGUUGCUUUCAAGUACUUGACAAGUGUAAAUCCGCUAUUAUGAAAAAAUGUUCAUCGCUAGUUUAAUCGAAAAUCGAUAAUAAAAUUAGUUUCUUCUCUAUCAUAUUGAACGUAUGAUUUAUGCAUUGCUGGUGAACGUGGAUUUGUAUUGCUCCUGAAUGGUCGUAUAUGAAAAAAGGAAAAACUGAUGACACUGCGUAUUACUCGAUAUGUGGAUUUGACAUUAACAUUGCAAAUGGAGGGAAGUCAAGCAUUCAAGAUCAUGUAAAAAGUGCUUAGUGCUUUCAAAAAUAACAAUUGCUUCAUGUUCAAAAGAUAUUAGUUCUUUUAUGGUGAAGAAGAAUACACAACUUGAGCAUUUGAUAAAGGUUGCUGAAAUCACAAGCGCCUACAGAAUUGUAAAUCAUCAUCAAUCAUUCAGCUCAUUGGAUUGUACCACAAAACUGGAUGCCGUAUUAUAUCCAGAUUAAAAAAUCGCCGCAAAACAAUCGAACGCCAGGACAACAGCAACAGCCAUCAUAAAGAAUGUUUUGGCACCACAUUCAGUUACGGAAAUCACUAAAAUACUAAAAGAUCAUGUUCCAUUCUUUGGAAUAUCUACCGAUUCGAGCAAUCACAAAGCACAGAAAAUGUUCCCCCUGAUAAUUCAUUAUUUUACGGAGAAAGGGUUGGAUAUAAAAUUAUUAAAAAUACAGUCAAUGCCAAUUGAAACAUCCGAAACAAUAGCAACAUACUGCAUCGAUGCACUAAAAACAGCUGAUAUUCCACUAAAAAAUCUUACGGCUUUUGGUGCAGACAACACAAACGCGAAUUUUGGGGGCAGACAAAGGAAUGGCGUAACUAACGUUUUUUACAAGUUGAAAUCCGAAUUGGGUCGAGAAAUAGGGGACAUUGGUGGUUCUGCUCAUAUCCUCCAAAACACUAUUUCACGUGCUACAGAUGUACUGUCAAUUGACAUUGAAUCUGUUGUUUUGAAGAUAUAUAUAUAUUUCUGCAUCCUCCCGGUUAGAACUGAACGAAUGAAACAGUUUUGUGAAAACGCACAGGUAAUAUUUAACGAAAUACUCUCCCAUACAAUAAGUCGGUGGUUGUCACUUUUGCCUGCAAUAGAGCGUACAUUACAGCUUUGGAUACCGCUCAAAGAAUUCUUUGAGGUUGAAAAAGGAGCAGCGAAAGUAAUUACUGACUUUUUUUAAAAUCCGUUUGCAGAACUAUAUUUCACAUUCAUACACAGCCAAGCUUUUGUAAUUGAGAGACAAAUAAAAAAAAUUGAAAAGCGAAA